UAACGGGCCGUACCAAGGCGAUGAUGCAUAGCCCGAGUUGAGAGACUGGAUCGGGCCACGAUUGGGACUGAGACACGGGCCCAAACUCCUACGGGAGGCAGCAGUAGGGGAAUCUUCCACAAUGGACGCAAAGUCUGAUGGAGCAAAACGCCGCGUGAGUGAAGAAGGGUUUCGGCUCGUAAAAGCUCUGUUGUUGGUGAAGAAGGACAGGGGUAGUAACUGACCCUUUGUUUGACGGUAAUCAAUUUAGAAAGUCACGGGCUAACUACGUGCCCAGCAGCCGCGGUAAAU
RNAcentral lists this ribosomal RNA (291 nucleotides) under uncultured Bacillota bacterium. RNAcentral's name for it is "uncultured Firmicutes bacterium partial 16S ribosomal RNA". It matches the Rfam family "Bacterial small subunit ribosomal RNA", at positions 258 to 525 of the family's 1533-position model. Lineage: Bacteria; Bacillati; Bacillota. The record is from RNAcentral.